UAGACUAUACUUCACAGGAUCAUUUCUGUAGUAAGUCUUCAUUACUUUCCUUUGUUACCUUUCUUUUUUAUGUAUACGAUAUAGAGCUUGUUAGUGAA
Condylostylus longicornis is the source of this 98-nucleotide small nucleolar RNA. RefSeq annotates it as small nucleolar RNA U3. The transcript has a single exon. The record is from RefSeq and is a predicted model, not a curated record. NCBI's taxonomy places the organism in Eukaryota, Metazoa, Arthropoda, Insecta, Diptera, Dolichopodidae.